UACUAAACAACGUAGACACAAAGCCCGACAGAUUAACAUUUGUGAUAAAAUUGAUCGACGGAAACUUCUGAAAUUGACAGCCCGGGCUAGAUUAUUUAUUGACAGUUGAUCAUACCUGGGUUAAGUAUCUUUUGAGAUCGAGAGUGGCUGGCACAGAAAGAGCUGUACACCUUGAAAUGGUUUGCGUAGAACAGAAACGAUCCACCCAGUGAAAACAGGACACGCUGUUAACGUAUAAAAACAGUUAGAAGAUUAAAAGAAAACAUAUUGGAGCCAAGAAUUGACUGUCCGGGCCUAUUGCCUCAACAAGGCUCUGCAGAAACUGCCGCUGGAACUGCGCGAUCUCCUGGAUAUUGCCGAAUAUAUGGUCAACCUCGUCCGAGCUCAGGAAGUUCUCCUCCUUUAAGGGCUCCAGGUAAUCUCAUUCCCAUAAACCUUACCUGUAAUAGUGUAUCAACCUGGUCCGAGGACUUCCUGCUUCUAGCACUACACUUUUUACCUGAAGAUGGUGGUGGUAGUUUUAAGCUGUCAAUGCUAUGAUCGCUGAGGCGUAUCUGGCUAGGGGGUGGGGGGAGUGUCGGUGGAGUCUCCAUGGCAACCGCUCCACUUGGCUCAAACAGGGAGCGGACAACAAAACAAAUGGCAGACGACUCGUCCUGUCAGGAUAUUGGUAACUUCCCUCUGGUGCACCCUGCAAUCGCACCCUGACAAAAUGAUCCCGAGGAUUGAGUUGUCGUCGGUUACACACAGCUAGUAAAACAUCAUCCGCAGUUGUAGUCUUCUUGAUCCCAACCG
Mya arenaria is the source of this 795-nucleotide long non-coding RNA. RefSeq lists it as uncharacterized. The transcript has 6 exons. Lineage: Eukaryota; Metazoa; Mollusca; Bivalvia; Myida; Myidae. The record is from RefSeq and is a predicted model, not a curated record.